GAUGAACGCUGGCGGCGUGCCUAAUACAUGCAAGUCGAGCGAACAGAUAAGGAGCUUGCUCCUUUGACGUUAGCGGCGGACGGGCGAGUAACACGUGGGUAACCUACCUAUAAGACUGGGAUAACUUCGGGAAACCGGAGCUAAUACCGGAUAACAUUUGGAACCGCAUGGUUCUAAAGUUAAAGAUGGUUUUGCUAUCACUUAUAGAUGGACCCGCGCCGUAUUAGCUAGUUGGUAAGGUAACGGCUUACCAAGGCAACGAUACGUAGCCGACCUGAGAGGGUGAUCGGCCACACUGGAACUGAGACACGGUCCAGACUCCUACGGGAGGCAGCAGUAGGGAAUCUUCCGCAAUGGGCGAAAGCCUGACGGAGCAACGCCGCGUGAGUGAUGAAGGGUUUCGGCUCGUAAAACUCUGUUAUUAGGGAAGAAAAAAUGUGUAAGUAACUGUGCACGUCUUGACGGUACCUAAUCAGAAAGCCACGGCUAACUACGUG
RNAcentral lists this ribosomal RNA (497 nucleotides) under uncultured bacterium. RNAcentral's name for it is "partial 16S ribosomal RNA". It matches the Rfam family "Bacterial small subunit ribosomal RNA", at positions 28 to 507 of the family's 1533-position model. The record is from RNAcentral.